UAAUAUCGAAAAGGUGAAUUUUAAUAAUAGGUUUGAAAAUUCCAAAAGCAGAAUAAAUAGACGGCAGUUUUUUGCGGUUUUUUGCGGUUUUUAAUUAAAGUGUAGUAAUUACACUGUAUAGUUGUAUAAUAUAAACAAAAAGCUCUAUUAGUAGAACAAAAAAUAUUGAA
Non-coding RNA from Hydra vulgaris (swiftwater hydra), 170 nucleotides. The record is from RefSeq and is a predicted model, not a curated record. Lineage: Eukaryota; Metazoa; Cnidaria; Hydrozoa; Anthoathecata; Hydridae.